This is a long non-coding RNA of Oncorhynchus keta (chum salmon), 468 nucleotides long. RefSeq lists it as uncharacterized. The record is from RefSeq and is a predicted model, not a curated record. The transcript has 3 exons. Lineage: Eukaryota; Metazoa; Chordata; Actinopteri; Salmoniformes; Salmonidae.
GUCUGGUGGAAAGCAGACUGAACCAGGUUAUUGUCCUGCUGAAAGGUGAAUUCAUCUCCCAGUGUCUGGUGGAAAGCAGACUGAGCCAGGUUAUUGUCCUGCUGAAAGGUGAAUUCAUCUCCCAGUGUCUGGUGGAAAGCAGACUGAACCAGGUUAUUGUCCUGCUGAAAGGUGAAUUCAUCUCCCAGUGUCUGGUGGAAAGCAGACUGAACCAGGUUAUUGUCCUGUUGAAAGGUGAAUUCAUCUCCCAGUGUCUGGUGGAAAGCAGACUGAACCAGGUUAUUGUCCUGCUGAAAGGUGAAUUCAUCUCCCAGUGUCUGGUGGAAAGCAGACUGAACCAGGUUAUUGUCCUGCUGAAAGGUGAAUUCAUCUCCCAGUGUCUGGUGGAAAGCAGACUGAACCAGGUUAUUGUCCUGCUGAAAGGUGAAUUCAUCUCCCAGUGUCUGGUGGGAAGCAGACUGAACCAGG